This 274-nucleotide ribosomal RNA is filed under the name uncultured bacterium. RNAcentral describes it as "partial 16S ribosomal RNA". It matches the Rfam family "Bacterial small subunit ribosomal RNA", at positions 523 to 796 of the family's 1533-position model. The record is from RNAcentral.
AUACGGAGGUUGCAAGCGUUAAUCGGAAUUACUGGGCGUAAAGCGCGCGUAGGCGGCUGAUUAAGUCGGAUGUGAAAUCCCUGGGCUCAACCUAGGAACUGCAUCCGAUACUGGUCAGCUAGAGUUUUGGAGAGGUAAGUGGAAUUUCCGGUGUAGCGGUGAAAUGCAUAGAGAUCGGAAGGAACACCAGUGGCGAAGGCGACUUACUGGCCAAAAACUGACGCUGAGGUGCGAAAGCGUGGGUAGCGAACAGGAUUAGAUACCCCAGUAGUCC